UGAAUACGAGACGCUAAGGCGUCGAAGUAGUGUAUGUCAUACUUCCAAGAAAAGCUUGCACUGUCAUAAAUAAAAGAUGCCUGUACCAUAACCGACACAGGUGGGUAGGUAGAGUAUACUAAGGGGCGCGAGAUAACUCUCUCUAAGGAACUCGGCAAAAUAACUCCGUAACUUCGGGAGAAGGAGUGCCUUAUUUAUAAGGUUGCAAUAACAAGAUCCAAGCAACUGUUUAUCAAAAACACAGGUCUCCGCUAAGUCGCAAGACGAUGUAUGGGGGCUGACGCCUGCCCAUUGCCAGAAGGUUAAAGAAGUUGGUUAGCACUUGCGAAGCUGAUAACUGAAGCCCUGGUGAACGGCGGCCGUAACGAUAACGGUCCUAAGGUAGCGAAAUUCCUUGUCGGGUAAGUUCCGACCCGCACGAAAGGCGUAAUGAUUUGGAUACUGUCUCGGAGAGGGGCUCGGUGAAAUAGACUUGUCUGUGAAGAUGCGGACUACCUGCACCAGGACAGAAAGACCCUAUGAAGCUUUACUGUAACUUGAAAUUGAAAUUGGACUUUAUUCGCGCAGUAUAGGUGGGAGGCGUUGAUUGUAAUCUUGCGGGAUUAUUGGAGCCAUCAGUGAGAUACCACUCUUGUAAUGUUAGAUUUCUAACUUUGUAUCAUUAUCUGGUCAAAGGACAGUUUCAGGCGGGCAGUUUGACUGGGGCGGUCGCCUCCUAAACGGUAACGGAGGCGUACAAAGGUUUCCUCUGAACGGUUAGAAAUCGUAUCUAGAGUGUAAAGGCAUAAGGAAGCUUGACUGUGAGACCUACAAGUCGAGCAGGGACGAAAGUCGGUCUUAGUGAUCUGACGGUACUGAGUGGAAAGGCCGUCACUCAACGGAUAAAAGUUACUCUAGGAUAACAGGCUGAUCUCCCCCAAGAGUUCACAUCGACGGGGAGGUUUGGCACCUUGAUGUCGGCUCAUCGCAUCCUGGGGCGGUAGUACGUCCCAAGGGUUGGGCUGUUCGCCCAUGAAAGCGGUACGCGAGCUGGGUUCAGAACGUCGUGAGACAGUUCGGUCCAUAUCCGGUGUAGGCGUUAGAAUAUUGAGAGGAGCCUUCUUUAGUACGAGAGGACCGAGAAGGACAUACCUCUGGUGUACCAGUUAUCGUGCCAACGGUAAACGCUGGGUAGCUAUGUAUGGAGUGGAUAACCGCUGAAAGCAUCUAAGUGGGAAGCCCACCUCAAGAUAAGUAUUCU
This 1240-nucleotide ribosomal RNA is filed under the name metagenome. RNAcentral describes it as "bacterial LSU rRNA". It matches the Rfam family "Bacterial large subunit ribosomal RNA", at positions 1564 to 2814 of the family's 2925-position model. The record is from RNAcentral.